This 473-nucleotide ribosomal RNA is filed under the name uncultured organism. RNAcentral's name for it is "partial 16S ribosomal RNA". It matches the Rfam family "Bacterial small subunit ribosomal RNA", at positions 332 to 797 of the family's 1533-position model. The record is from RNAcentral.
UACACUCCUGCGGGAGGCAGCAGUAGGGAAUCUUCCACAAUGGGUGCAAACCUGAUGGAGCAAUGCCGCGUGAGUGAAGAAGGUCUUCGGAUCGUAAAGCUCUGUUGUUAGAGAAGAACACGUGCUAGGUAACUACUAGCGCCUUGACGGUAUCUAACCAGAAAGUCACGGCUAACUACGUGCCAGCAGCCGCGGUAAUACGUAGGUGACAAGCGUUGUCCGGAUUUAUUGGGCGUAAAGGGAGCGCAGGCGGUCUGUUUAGUCUAAUGUGAAAGCCCACGGCUUAACCGUGGAACGGCAUUGGAAACUGACAGACUUGAAUGUAGAAGAGGAAAAUGGAAUUCCAAGUGUAGCGGUGGAAUGCGUAGAUAUUUGGAGGAACACCAGUGGCGAAGGCGAUUUUCUGGUCUAACAUUGACGCUGAGGCUCGAAAGCGUGGGGAGCGAACAGGAUUAGAUACCCCUGUAGUCCCA